Long non-coding RNA from Oncorhynchus tshawytscha (Chinook salmon), 354 nucleotides. The record is from Ensembl. Lineage: Eukaryota; Metazoa; Chordata; Actinopteri; Salmoniformes; Salmonidae.
UGUAUCCCAAAUCACACCCUAUUCCCUAUAUACAGUAGGUCCACGUCCACGUCCCAAAUCACACCCUAUUCCCUAUAUACAGUAGUUCCACGGCUGUGUCCCAAAUCACACCCUAUUCCCUAUAUACAGUAGUUCCACGUCCCAAAUCACACCCUAUUCCCUAUAUACAGUAGUUCCACGUUGUGUCCCAAAUCACACCCUAUUCCCUAUAUACAGUAGUACACUACUUUUGACUAGAGCCCAUAGGGCUCUGUUUAAAAGUACUGCAAUAUGUAGGGAGAGAAGGGUGCCAUUUUAAAACAUACCCCACUUCUGUCCCAAUUCUGAGGCACAUGUUAAACAUACCCCCCCCCC